UACGAAGGGGGCUAGCGUUGUUCGGAAUCACUGGGCGUAAAGCGCGCGCAGGCGGCCACUUAAGUCCGCUGGUGAAAGACCGGGGCUCAACCCCGUGUCAGCCAGGGAUACUGGGUGGCUGGAGACAGGUAGAGGCAAGCGGAAUUCCGGGUGUAGCGGUGGAAUGCGUAGAGAUCCGGAAGAACACCGGAGGCGAAGGCGGCUUGCUGGACCUGGUCUGACGCUGAGGCGCGAAAGCGUGGGGAGCGAACAGG
RNAcentral lists this ribosomal RNA (254 nucleotides) under uncultured bacterium. RNAcentral's name for it is "partial 16S ribosomal RNA". It matches the Rfam family "Bacterial small subunit ribosomal RNA", at positions 524 to 776 of the family's 1533-position model. The record is from RNAcentral.